GACAGAGGGUGCAAACGUUGCUCGGAAUCACUGGGCGUAAAGGGCGUGUAGGCGGGAAGGAUAGUCAGAUGUGAAAUCCCUGGGCUCAACCCAGGAACUGCAUUUGAAACUCCCUUUCUUGAGUGUCGGAGAGGAAAGCGGAAUUCCUGGUGUAGAGGUGAAAUUCGUAGAUAUCAGGAGGAACACCGGUGGCGAAGGCGGCUUUCUGGACGACAACUGACGCUGAGACGCGAAAGCGUGGGGAGCAAACAGG
This 253-nucleotide ribosomal RNA is filed under the name uncultured bacterium. RNAcentral's name for it is "partial 16S ribosomal RNA". It matches the Rfam family "Bacterial small subunit ribosomal RNA", at positions 524 to 776 of the family's 1533-position model. The record is from RNAcentral.